UCCAGGCGGUGCCCAAGGGGUGGCGGGGGAAGUUCGGUCCGUCUAGUGCUGGGAGGUGUCCUCGGACCGCCUCGAGGGCGCCCGGAGACGCGCGGAGGCAGCAGUCCCGGCUCCGCAGGGAGCUCCACCACGUUUAAGAAAUCGGAUCCGAUGAUAAAGAGAAAAGGAUAAACUUCUAUCCUAGUCACCUCCUGCCGGACGAGGAUUUGCUGGCGCGGAGGCAGAGGGGACAGAAGACCACAGGCCUUUUGGGGAACUCGGAACAAAAGGCCUGACGUGGCAUGUUGGCACACAUUGUACAUCUGCUUUAGACAUUUACAAUGUUCCAAAGCCAAGAAUGAUGCCCUGAAGAUAGGGAUCUUGCCUACCCCAUAUGGGCAUUUCUUUAAGGAUAAGCAUGUCUUCCCAGAAGCUAAGGAUUAAUUACUCAUCUGGUUUAACUCAUCUCCUGACCACUGACCUGCUGACCAGCGACUUGCUGCAGUCACCUGGUGAACACUGACCUGCUGUGCUACCAAAGUAUCUCGUGACUGUAGUACAAGAGAUCUUCCUGUCACAUGUGAUGUAUGCUCUUUGUUCCAAUGAUGAGGAUCAAGGCUGCCCCUGCCCCAGGGAGAAAAGCCCAAGGCGUCCUGCCCUACAUACUGAUCUAUAUCAUCCUCGGGAAGCACAGGACGUCCUGACUUAAUCCGAUCUGAGUCUUACCUAAAGUUAUAGGACCACCCAAUAGCCAGACCCCACCUGCACUGAUACUAUUUUAAUGACUUUUUUACAUAAUCUUUCCUUUGUCUUGUAAAAAGAUAAUUGACAUACCUAUGCCUUAAAUUUAGCCCUACCCUCAACCAGUGUUUGCAGCUCUUACUGCCCGUGGGUCCUGUCCCCUUGCUGCUCCAUGCUAUUCUCUGAAUAAAAGAGCACUACUGCCAAAC
RNAcentral lists this long non-coding RNA (929 nucleotides) under Equus asinus (donkey). RNAcentral's name for it is "lncRNA (ENSEASG00005030998.1)". The record is from RNAcentral. Lineage: Eukaryota; Metazoa; Chordata; Mammalia; Perissodactyla; Equidae.